UUAACUGACAGAUAAACCGUAGGCCUGUUUCUUGGAAUUUUCUUGAUGUCAGAGGAGGCGGCAGGGUGGUCUGGAGGACGUGAUGCUGCUGGAGCUAGCUCCUGACAUCCCUGUGUGUUCCUGUGUGAUCAUCCAAUCAAGCUCCUACCUUGCCUAGAGCACCAUGACUCACUACUAAAAACUCUGCAAGAGACAGGCUCCUUUGAUGGCGUCAGCCGGCUAAUUCUGGUGGGUGUGAUAACCCUUACCUGACAGAAAUAAAUACUUAAGUGUGGCACUCCGACAGGAAACAAUGUCUGGAUUAAAACACUCCCACAAACCAAGAGGAGGCAGAAGACACAUCGAACAGGAUUGGCAUAAGCUGAUUACUGACAGUCAGGGGAAAGUCUCCGGCAGGACCUUCUGGCUGAAUGGGACCUGCUGUGAUGUGGACGGAAGACCCAUUGUCUAACUCCACUUCAAGAAAUCCAUGAGACCUCUUCCGUUCGCACAGCUGACGCCACGAUGGCUCUCUGCCUUUCUAAAAAAGGAAAGCAGCACGGAGUGGCAAGGCUAGCUCCUAUCCUCUACCCCGUUGUCUGGGCAUAAUAAAAUGAUCAGGAUUUGA
Mesocricetus auratus (golden hamster) is the source of this 607-nucleotide long non-coding RNA. RefSeq lists it as uncharacterized. Lineage: Eukaryota; Metazoa; Chordata; Mammalia; Rodentia; Cricetidae. The record is from RefSeq and is a predicted model, not a curated record. The transcript is spliced from 3 exons.